This 465-nucleotide ribosomal RNA is filed under the name Vreelandella stevensii. RNAcentral's name for it is "partial 16S ribosomal RNA". It matches the Rfam family "Bacterial small subunit ribosomal RNA", at positions 338 to 795 of the family's 1533-position model. The record is from RNAcentral. Lineage: Bacteria; Pseudomonadati; Pseudomonadota; Gammaproteobacteria; Oceanospirillales; Halomonadaceae.
CCUACGGGCGGCAGCAGUGGGGAAUAUUGGACAAUGGGGGCAACUCUGAUCCAGCCAUGCCGCGUGUGUGAAGAAGGCCCUCGGGUUGUAAAGCACUUUCAGUGAGGAAGAACGCCUGGUGGUUAAUACCCAUCAGGAAAGACAUCACUCACAGAAGAAGCACCGGCUAACUCCGUGCCAGCAGCCGCGGUAAUACGGAGGGUGCGAGCGUUAAUCGGAAUUACUGGGCGUAAAGCGCGCGUAGGUGGCUUGAUAAGCCGGUUGUGAAAGCCCCGGGCUCAACCUGGGAACGGCAUCCGGAACUGUCAAGCUAGAGUGCAGGAGAGGAAGGUAGAAUUCCCGGUGUAGCGGUGAAGUGCGUAGAGAUCGGGAGGAAUACCAGUGGCGAAGGCGGCCUUCUGGACUGACACUGACACUGAGGUGCGAAAGCGUGGGUAGCAAACAGGAUUAGAUACCCCUGUAGUC